Molecule: ribosomal RNA, 756 nt
Filed under: uncultured bacterium
Lineage: Bacteria
Description: bacterial SSU rRNA
Rfam family: Bacterial small subunit ribosomal RNA
Source: RNAcentral
AGAGUUUGAUCAUGGCUCAGAAUCAACGCUGGCGGCGCGCUUAACACAUGCAAGUCGAACGAGAAAGGGGAGCAAUCCCUGAGUACAGUGGCGUACGGGUGAGUAACACGUGGGUAAUCUACUCUUUGGUGGGGGAUAACCCUGGGAAACCGGGGCUAAUACCGCAUAAGACCGGAAGGUGAAAGGGGCAAUUCGCCGAAGAAGGAGCCCGCGGCCGAUUAGCUAGUUGGUGGGGUAAGAGCCUACCAAGGCAGAGAUCGGUAGCCGGCCUGAGAGGGCACACGGCCACACUGGCACUGAAACACGGGCCAGACUCCUACGGGAGGCAGCAGUGGGGAAUCUUGCACAAUGGGGGCAACCCUGAUGCAGCGACGCCGCGUGAGCAAUGAAGCCCUUCGGGGUGUAAAGCUCUUUCGACAGGAACGAUAAUGGCGGUACCUGUAGAAGAAGCUGCGGCUAACUACGUGCCAGCAGCCGCGGUAAUACGUAGGCAGCGAGCGUUGUUCGGAGUUACUGGGCGUAAAGGGUGCGUAGGCGGUAAUCCAAGUCUGGUGUGAAAUCUCCCGGCUCAACUGGGAGGGUGCGCCGGAAACUGGGUAACUGGAGUGUGGGAGAGGUAAGCGGAAUUCCUGGUGUAGCGGUGAAAUGCGUAGAUAUCAGGAGGAACACCUGUGGUGUAGACAGCUUACUGGACCACGACUGACGCUGAGGCACGAAAGCGUGGGUAGCAAACAGGAUUAGAUACCCUAGUAGUCC